This is a long non-coding RNA of Gallus gallus (chicken), 3820 nucleotides long. RefSeq lists it as uncharacterized. The record is from RefSeq and is a predicted model, not a curated record. The transcript is spliced from 3 exons. Lineage: Eukaryota; Metazoa; Chordata; Aves; Galliformes; Phasianidae.
GGGUGGGAAGCACAGUGGCAGGGUUGGGAGUGAGUGCAGCAGGUGUCUCUGCAGGACAAGCUCCUUCCAAAAUCCAUGCCUUUUUUUCCCCCUUUAUCGGAAUGCCAAGAUGCACAGUCUAAGAAUAAUUUGGGAAUCCAAACCUUUAUCAGGACCUUGCUCUGUGAAGUCAGUACGACCUGCCAUUCCUAGCAGUGUGCCAACAAAGCAGUGCCUGCAGCUCUGAUAACAGGAGCAGCACUGCACUUGUCGCUCUGGGCCUCUGUGUCCGUGCCCCAGGGAGGGCAGCAGAGCGAGGAGGACACAAAAUCCAACCCCCCCAUCCUUGUCAGCAACUUCACAUUAACAAACACUGUGCCUAUAGUGGAGCGGCUGGAGAAAGCAAACCAAACAGCCAUUUGCUGCAAAGCGCCACUCCCAAAAUAGAGAUUAUUACAUGAAACAGAGCGCAGAGAAGGGAAGGUUGAUUCAGAAAAUAGCUUGCAACUGUCCUUUACGCAGCUCAGUACUGUAUGGUAAAUAAUGCAGGAAGGAAGGGAAACUGCAGGCUCCAAGUGGAUGUGCCAGAAAGUAGCACCAGCACCUGAGAUGUCUUUGGAGACCUUCCAACAGUACAGAAGCACUCUGCACGCGUAACCAGUUCUUCUAACAACCCCUGGCCUCCCUUGCUGCUCUGAGGAAUGGAGUUUCUGAGCAUUUGGGGGACUCUGAGCUUCAGCCUGGUGACCCCAGCAGCCAUGCACAGACGCAGAGGGAAGGCUUGGGUGGGUGUGUUCUGUGCAGUUCCAGCUGCAGACGGAGGUGCACAGGGAGUGGUCAUUCAGGGUUCAGAGGUGAGGAGAAGCCCACAUUGUCUUUCUGUUUCAUGCACAGCAAGAUCAUUCACAGCUCUUCUGUGCUCCCAGGUUGAGACAGCACUCCUGGGAGCCCUGGCUUCGGCCCACGGGCUGACCCUGCUGAGCUGCAGGCAUGGGGCUGCAGCUGCUGCCCAACAUUUCUCCCCUGGCACGCAGGCAUUGCUACCAGCCUUCCAUGAUUCCGCCUUCCUGGCUGCUCCCGCUGAGUGAUCAUAUCCAUGUCCCAAAGUGAUGUGAUCUGGCAGCACAAUUAAUUGGGUUAACCGGACUGAUACAGAACAGAUUUCAUGGCAGUGAAUUGAAACACUCGAGCUUUAAUCAGCAGACUGCAUCCACAAAGUAGGGCAGAGCUGCAGACCCAGAGGGCGAGCGCUGCAACAAGAACACAGCAGUUAGGAACAGGGCCACGUGCCCCUGACCUCUUAUCACCCUCUACAACAACGUGGUGACAUGAAAGCAGCACUUCACUUACACUGACAAGAAGACUGGAAGUAAGCUAAAACUUCACUUCCAAGGCCUCUUUGUCCUUCUAGAAGGAGGAUUUAAACCAGUGCUUGCGUGAGCCCAUGGAACUGCCGUGCUGCUUUCCAUAAAGAAUUCCUGCUCGUUACAGAAGUGGGCAGCAGAUUAAUUCAUGUAUAGAUUUUCUGCGCACUGAAAAUAGUUUGUGGAAGCAGGCUGCGUGCUUGGUGUAGUUCCACACUUGCAAAUGUAUCCUCACUGAGAUGCUAAUGUAUGUCAGUGUGCGUGUAUAAGCAGCAGCAUUUGCAUGCUUAAUCGGGCACGUGGCCUUUGUUAAUUAGACAGUCAGUUAAUGCUUUAUGUCUGUGGGUCUGCAUGAGCAAUCAUUUGCCCAGAACCUCAUUAAUUUUACUGGCUGCCCCUCCUGUUGUAGUUCACAAAUCAGGCUGAGCAUGCACACAAAUCCCUUUGAGUAGGUUUCUCUAAUAAAGCAAAUCAGGCAUCAGAGGAAACUCUCAAAGAAUAUUGAAAACAACAAAGCUAUAAAGGCCGACCUGGUGAUUUUGCAAAGCGUCUUUGUGCGAUCAAAUGAGAGCUGCCAAGAGCAGCUGAGAAUUCCAGUUUGCAGCUAGGGGCAGGCAGGGCUGCUCUGUCAUGUAGUUAUGUGCCAUGCAUGUCUGUGUAUAUAUAUAUCUAUACAGCAAAACACAAACAUGCAGUCAUUGUCCCCAGGAAUUUUUUGUGCGUACUCAGUGCAGAUAUCUCUUCUGAGACCUCUGCCUGCAGGACACAGCCUCUGCCACUUACUGCAUCCACAGAAACAGCCCCAAGUGCCCACCAACCCAGGGAGCACGGACCUGGUUGUACAGGUGGGCUGUGUGUAUACAGGGGCAGAGUGGUCCCACCUGCCUGUUCCCUCUUGUGACGCCCUCUCAAGCUGCCCAGGAGAGGGGAAAGCAGCCAAGGGGCUUUGCUGAGAGUGCAGUAAGAGACAGGACACGCCACUCACUGUUCUAGACUGUGGCUGAAUGCAGCAGUGAGGCCCCAGGACUGGUGGUGGCUGUGGACAUUUUCCAUCCUGAUGACCAACAGAGCAGUAGGGUGGAGGUGUGAGAUUCUUGCUUUCUUUUCCGUCUGCAUUCUCUCAUCAACAAAGCAAAGAAUGCCACUGGAACACAGACUUAAAAUGAUCCUGGGGUGAAAUCUUCAUUCCCAGUGACUGCAGUGCAGACAGCAUCGCACUCAGCAUCUUCCGGACGUUGUUCCGUGUAAUUGCUACCCCAGACAGCAUCUUCUAUAGAUAGAAAGACAAAGGUGAAAACAUUCCAGGAGCAGCAGCCUCUCUUUCCCUCCUUGCUAUCGGUGUGUUUUGCUUUUUUCAGCUGCUCUGCUUAUGCAGUACACCUCGAUUGGCGGAGCCACAGUAUGAGUUGUGCCUGUGCUUUUGCCAUCUGCACUGCAGUCCCCAUUACGGAUGCAGCGCUGAGCAGCUUAUUUCACAACUGACUGAAGGCAAGGGGAAAAGCACGUGCGUGUGUGAGGUUAUUCCUUUCAUCAUUCAAAACUGAUUUGGAGGUUGGCAAGGUAAACUGCUCGCUUAACUGUUCUCUGUGAAAAUAAAAGCACCGCUUAUCGUUUCCAAAGGACCAACCUGCAACGCGGAUUUGGGCAUAAUUAAAAAAUGGGUCUGUAUUGCACCAUAAAAAAGACGUGCUCGAUGUUUUAACUGCAUCCCUACACUGAGUUCUUUGUUUAAACUACCCCUGCGCUAGGGAGUGUUACUGCAGUACAAGAAUAUCUGUGGAAAUGUGGUAAUUACGUGGCUAGGUUCCGCCUAGAUCUCUAAACUGGACUGUGUUAUUACUGUGCAAAGGGACAUCUCUGCUGCAGGGAGAGAGUAGUGGCAGUGGAACUUAAAAUACAGGAGCUAUUUUCUUUCUUCCUUUCUUCUUUUCUGCCUUUCUUUCUUCCUUUCUUUCCCCCAGCUGUGCUUGCAUAAAUCUAGACUUAGUUCAGACAUCACAGGAGCUCCAACUGCUUUGGGAAAAAAAGAAAAAAAGCCAUAGAUGUUGUGAAAUGAAUGUCUCUGCCCUGGCUGGGUUGCUGGGAGGACAAGGGUGAGAGAGGCAUGCUGAUGUGACUUUAGCUGCCCUGAGCCAGCUCCAGAAGUAAUGUUUAAUCAAAGCAAGCUGACAUUUGUCUGUUGAAUUGUUAUCAGAAUUGCUUAGUCAUUCAUGUGCCAUUGUGUUUCAGAAUGGAGAGCAGGGGAUUUAUUCAGCUUGACAUGAGCUGCUCCCAGCCGUUAGCAUUUCCCCCAACAUCCGACUGAUAUCUCCAUUUCACACUGCUAAAAGAGUCACCUUGAGGCCGAGGUGCUGCUGACCCCUGUGCACGAGGUUUCUUGUUAGAGAAUCCCUGGGAGAUGCUUUCUUCUUUAUUAUCAGUGAUCUCCAACCUCUUGGAGGGGGGACUGAGGGUUCUGUGUGCUGUUUGCACGCUGC